UGAAAUCAAAAUGAGGAUGCUGUAACCUUUGCUUAAGCCGUUGCUGAUGUCUACCCUUCACCUUCGUUUCCCGCCUGGUACAUGUCGCUCAACUCUUCCUGUCCUCCAAUAAGAAUGAAUGUGGACGACAUUUUUAGAAGACUUCAAAGACGGGUUUGCUUCAACUGCCUUAAUUAGCUAUCUAAAGGUGAGUCACUCUCUCUUUUCCAACGCCAUUUCAUUUGGUUUUUAUGGUUUUACGGUCGUUUCCCAGUCUUUAUCAAUAACUCAAUUUCAUCUCCUUUUUUUUGCAAUUUUUCCCUUAUAUUGGUUCUCGUAACAGCUUUAAUUUGAAGAAAUUGAAGGAAUUAGAAGUUGUUCAUCUAUCGAUUCUAUAAGAUGUAUGGAUUGAGAUCUUGAUGUGGCUAGGUAGGAGCUUUUGUUGGUCCACCACAUGUUCGAUGAAAUGCUUAACAAAAAAUAUUGGGUUAAACCUGAUGACAAUGAAUCCAGUUUCAACUAUUAACUUAAGAUCUAUCCACAUGAUGGAAACUUGAAAGAGUCAAGUCAAGGGUUGUUGGUGACAAUCAAUUAUAUAAGGGCAUUACCGCAUCAUCAUUAUAAUGAAAGAGUGAAGCAGGUCGUACUAGACAGGUUUUGAAGAGGUUGCCAAUAAUGUGGAAUUUGAAGAAAACAUGGAGAACGAUAUUUGUAUUCUAACAGAAUGUAUUCUGUCAGAAUUUAUU
Molecule: non-coding RNA, 725 nt
Organism: Lactuca sativa (garden lettuce)
Lineage: Eukaryota; Viridiplantae; Streptophyta; Magnoliopsida; Asterales; Asteraceae
Source: RefSeq, a predicted model, not a curated record